This is a long non-coding RNA of Monodelphis domestica (gray short-tailed opossum), 2550 nucleotides long. RefSeq lists it as uncharacterized. The record is from RefSeq and is a predicted model, not a curated record. Lineage: Eukaryota; Metazoa; Chordata; Mammalia; Didelphimorphia; Didelphidae.
GAGGUAGGUACUAUUAUCCCCAUUUUACAAUUACAAUUACAAUUAAGUCACAAAAUUUGUGUCUGAUGCUGCAUCUUCUUGACUUCAGGCUCAGUACUCUAUCCAUGUCGCUUCUAGAAGGGAUAGACCUCAUAGACCAUUUAAUCCAACCUCCUAAUUUUACACAUGAAGAAACUGUGGGAGCCUAAAUCAUCAGAGCCCAGUGGCAAGUCAACAUGACUGGCAAUGACCCUGGAUGCAGUGGAUGUCUUGGCGUCUUCCAUGUCUGAUUGAGCUCUAAUAGUUUAUGAAAAACAGGACCAAGCAAAGGGCAAAGAGCGGAAAGUCCAUAUUCCCAUCUCUUCUCAAGAGAAAAAGUAGGCUCUUUGGGAAAUAGGGAAAAUGAGAGAAAAAUAAGCCUCAAUCAUUGGGAGUGCAGAAGUCUAAUGAAAAAAAAAAAGGAUAUUGAAUAAAGCAGUAGGAAUGAUUAAGGAGAGUUCCUUCCAAGAAUUAUAAAAGAACUCAGGAGAACAUAGAGGACAAACCUGCCAAAAUACUGCAAGAAAAGAUGUUGCUGAUCAGCGGCAGGAAAUACUCCACGUCCCAUGAGAGAGUCUGUUCUCAGAAGACUGCCUGGCCAAGUCUGCAGAAUGGAGAAGUACUGUCAGGCAGCCACACUUACAGGAGGAGGCCUCACUGAACCUAGAACUAGUUGGAAGUUCUUUCAAAGCAGGUCAUCUCUGCUGUGUGGCACUGAGGCUUUAAGGGUCUAAGUGUUUCCUUUUAAGAAAAAGGAAACCAAUACAUAAUUCGAAGCCAGAUUUUAAAAGUACAUUUAAAUGGAAUCUUGAGAGUUGGGAGAGGUCUUUGUGAGCAUCUGGCACAUCUUUCAACUCAGAUCCAAACUCUUUUCUACAGAAUUGCUGCCAGUGAUCAUCCUGACUUGGCUUGAAUAUUUCCAAAGACGUGGAUCUCUCUUCUUUUUGAGGGUGGCCCUUUCCAUGCCUGGGCAACUCUUAGUGUCAGAAAACUGUUCCUCAUUUUUAUUGAAUUUAAGUCAACUUCUUUGUAUUCUACGUAAUGAGCAGUCCUGGUUCUGCCUCCUGGAACAACACAAUAAAUCUAGUACAUUUUCUCCACAUAUCUUAAGAUAUUUUCCAGCUUAAAAUGAGGCUUCUUUGGGCUGAGAAUUCCAAACAAUGUCAAUUUCUGGUUUUCCAUGGUGCUUGUUUGUCAGUUUCCCUCUUAAACUGUGUUUGAUUAGAGUUUUACAUGACAUUUCAGAGCAGAGAAUGAUGUAGCUUUUAUUUCCCUUGACCUCAAUAUUAUUCUAUCAAUUCAGCUUAAGGCUGACAUAGAUUUUUUAAGAAGCUAAUUUAAUCAUGCUUUUGGUUCACUUUGAACUUGCUAUAUCUCCUCCAUUUAUGUAAUUUUAAAAAAUCUGAUUGUCAAAUUUUACAUUUAUUACUCAUAUUUAAUCCUGUUGGUUUUAGUCUUCCAUUUUGAUCCAGUUAUCAAAAUUAACUGUCUUAGUUCUCUCUGUGACAUCUAUAGAUCCGAUGAACAUCAAAAAGGAUUGGACCAAGCAAGAACCUUAUGGCCUAAUACUGAAAGGCACUAUAUUAUAGUGGAUAGAGGGCUGGCUUUGGAAUGACAAAGGUCUGGGUUUGACUUCCUCCACAGGAACACAAUAGGUUUAUGACUCAAUAUAUGACUUCUAUGUAAAAUGGAGAUAAUAAUGAUGAUUCUAUUUUCAUAAGGUUGUUAUAAAAAUCAAGAGAAAUAAUGUAUUAAUGGCAUGCCAGUAAUUAUUAUUGACAUCAAGUGACUAAUCAAUAAUUUUAAUGAGUUGCGAUUCCACCUAACUGUACUGUACUCAUAUUAGCUUUAUAGGGAAAAUAUGAACAAGUAUAAGCUGUACCAUGCUUCAGCUUUCCCCCCUUAUAUUUUCCCUAUAAAGCCAACAUGAGAUACUUUGUCAAAUUACUCACUCAAGAUCCAUUACAUCUGUGGUAUUCCCUUGACACACCAGUUUGAUAACUCUAUCAAAAAAAGGAAAUGAGGUUAGUUUGGCAUAAGUUACUCUCAGCGAAUCUGUGCUGACUCCUAGUGAUAUAACUUCCCUUCUUAGGUAGUUACAACACAUCGAUCUAAAGAUCUGUUGGAAUUCUGCCAGACAUUGACAUCAAGUUUACCAGUUUGCUGUUUCCAGAGUUCAUUUCCCUCACAUUGGGGGGAAAAAAAAAAGAAUGAGACCUUUGCCCUUCUCCAGUUUUCUGGCACCUGCCCAUGCUUCAUGAAUUCUCAGAUUACCCAGUUCUGUAAUCUCAUUUUCCACUUCCUUUAGCACCCUGGUAUGUAAUUUGUCUAAGCCUUUCCUAUUCUGAUCUAGUCUCUUUAGGGCUUUAAUUUCUUCUUCAUAAUAUUUGUUUUACACUUCAUAGUUUGAAGGCCACUUUUUUGAUGGAGUAGAAAGUCACUUCUCUUUGAUGAUUCUCUAGUCCCAUUCUUAUUCCUCUAACUCUGAGUAUCACUAAAAAGAGACCUGUUUUUAUUUUAUUUUAUUUAAAA